RNAcentral lists this ribosomal RNA (598 nucleotides) under Metacyclops mendocinus. RNAcentral's name for it is "bacterial SSU rRNA". It matches the Rfam family "Eukaryotic small subunit ribosomal RNA", at positions 1177 to 1797 of the family's 1831-position model. Lineage: Eukaryota; Metazoa; Arthropoda; Copepoda; Cyclopoida; Cyclopidae. The record is from RNAcentral.
UGGAACUUGCGGCUUAAUUUGACUCAACACUGGAAAUCUCACCAGGCCCGGACACCGGAAGGAUUGACAGAUUGAGAGCUCUUUCUCGAUUCGGUGGGUGGUGGUGCAUGGCCGUUCUUAGUUGGUGGAGUGAUUUGUCUGGUUAAUUCCGAUAACGAACGAGACUCCUUCCUGCUAAAUAGUCGUGUCGCCGAUCUUGCGGCACGAAUUCUUCUUAGAGGGACUGACAGCAUCUAGCUGUACGAGAUGGAGCAAUAACAGGUCUGUGAUGCCCUUAGAUGUUCUGGGCCGCACGCGUGUUACACUGAAGGGAUCAGCGUGUCCUCCCUGACCGAGAGGUCCGGGUAACCCGCUGAACCCCCUUCGUGGUAGGGAUCGGGGCUUGCAAUUAUUCCCCGUGAACCAGGAAUGCCCAGUAGGCGCAAGUCAUAAGCUUGCGUCGAUUACGUCCCUGCCCUUUGUACACACCGCCCGUCGCUACUACCGAUUGAACGUUUUAGUGAGGUACUUGGACUGGGCCUUCGGUGGUUCGCGCCUCCGUUGCUGCCUGGGAAGAUUCCCAAACUUGAGCGUUUAGAGGAAGUAAAAGUCGUAACAA